UAGUCACAGCCACUUGGCUGGAAGCGCGCUCUAGGAGCCACCCGGAGCGUAAAGCGCGAGGGCGUUGCGGCGUUGCCACGCGGGAAAGUGAGGCUGCGCGGACUGAGAAGGUGUCAGGGCGUGCAGUGGGACUUAGACCUUAGGGUCUCGCCAUGUUGCUCUGGUUGUCCUUAAACUCAUUCUGUAGCCCAGACUGGUCUUGAACUUGCAACAGUCCUCCUGCCACAGCUUCCUGAGUGCUGGGAUUACAGCACCACCCACCCAGUUCUGUGAACCAGUGUUUUCAAAAUAAUCAACCAAAACACUGUGGGAACCAGCAUCCGAUGAUCCCUACUCACCUGGCAUUCAUUUUCUUGUGAAGUUGCUGCCCAAGUUGCAACAGACUAUGGAAGAUAACAGAAGUGGUGUUCAUGGAGAAGGAGGUCCAGCUAAGCAUUUAAGGCCUUGGAGUUAAGUCAACAGGAGAAGAAUCGAGUGAAGUUACAGAUGAGGAAGAAGUCAAGAAACUUCAAAAGAAAGACUAACAAGCCAUAUUUAGUAACAAGGUCCGAGAUGUACAUACCAUCAAUACUACGGAAAUCCA
This is a long non-coding RNA of Cavia porcellus (domestic guinea pig), 583 nucleotides long. RefSeq lists it as uncharacterized. NCBI's taxonomy places the organism in Eukaryota, Metazoa, Chordata, Mammalia, Rodentia, Caviidae. The transcript has 5 exons. The record is from RefSeq and is a predicted model, not a curated record.